GACCACUCCAGUGGCCUAGUUGUUAGAGCGUCUGCCUCGGAUGCAGGAGGUCGUUGGUUCGAUUCCCUUUCGAGUCA
Molecule: non-coding RNA, 77 nt
Organism: Potamilus streckersoni
Lineage: Eukaryota; Metazoa; Mollusca; Bivalvia; Unionida; Unionidae
Source: the annotation of a GenBank genome assembly